RNAcentral lists this ribosomal RNA (826 nucleotides) under uncultured Prevotella sp. Its description in RNAcentral is "bacterial SSU rRNA". It matches the Rfam family "Bacterial small subunit ribosomal RNA", at positions 62 to 879 of the family's 1533-position model. The record is from RNAcentral. Lineage: Bacteria; Pseudomonadati; Bacteroidota; Bacteroidia; Bacteroidales; Prevotellaceae.
UCGAGGGGAAACGGCAUUGAGUGCUUGCACUCUUUGGACGUCGACCGGCGCACGGGUGAGUAACGCGUAUCCAACCUUCCCAUUACUGUGGGAUAACCUGCCGAAAGGCAGACUAAUACCGCAUAGUCUUCGAUGACGACAUCAGAUUUGAAGUAAAGAUUUAUCGGUAAUGGAUGGGGAUGCGUCUGAUUAGCUUGUUGGCGGGGUAACGGCCCACCAAGGCUACGAUCAGUAGGGGUUCUGAGAGGAAGGUCCCCCACAUUGGAACUGAGACACGGUCCAAACUCCUACGGGAGGCAGCAGUGAGGAAUAUUGGUCAAUGGACGGAAGUCUGAACCAGCCAAGUAGCGUGCAGGAUGACGGCCCUAUGGGUUGUAAACUGCUUUUGUAUGGGGAUAAAGUUAGGGACGUGUCCCUAUUUGCAGGUACCAUACGAAUAAGGACCGGCUAAUUCCGUGCCAGCAGCCGCGGUAAUACGGAAGGUCCAGGCGUUAUCCGGAUUUAUUGGGUUUAAAGGGAGCGUAGGCUGGAGAUUAAGUGUGUUGUGAAAUGUAGACGCUCAACGUCUGAAUUGCAGCGCAUACUGGUUUCCUUGAGUACGCACAACGUUGGCGGAAUUCGUCGUGUAGCGGUGAAAUGCUUAGAUAUGACGAAGAACUCCGAUUGCGAAGGCAGCUGACGGGAGCGCAACUGACGCUUAAGCUCGAAGGUGCGGGUAUCAAACAGGAUUAGAUACCCUGGUAGUCCGCACAGUAAACGAUGGAUGCCCGCUGUUGGUACCUGGUAUCAGCGGCUAAGCGAAAGCAUUAAGCAUCCCACCUGGGGA